UUCUUGCCUCAUUAUAAGAAGUAAUUCCUGCCCAGUGACUAAUAGUUUAACGGCCGCGGUAUCCUAACCGUGCAAAGGUAGCAUAAUCACUUGCCCGUUAAUUGCGGGCUAGAAUGAAAGGACUAACGAAAUAAAAUCUGUCUCUAUAAGCACACUAAAAAUUAAUCUCUAACUGAAGAGUGUUAGAUAAAGUCGAAGGACAAGAAGACCCUAUAGAGCUUCAUCCUAACAAAAAUUCAUAUUCUGCUAAGAUUCGGUUGGGGCGACCAGGGAAAUCGUAAAUCAUCCCUUUUUUGAGAUAAGUAAAUCCUGCUAAUGACCCUUAUACAAGAUCACCAGAAUAAGCUACCUUAGGGAUAACAGGCUAAUCCCACUAAAGAGUCCUUAUCAAUAGGGGGGUUUGGCACCUCGAUGUUGGCUUAGGGAAUCUAUGCGGCGCAAAAGUCACAUAAAGAUGGUUUGUUCAACCAAGAAUUCCCUACAUGAGCUGAGUUCAGACCGGCGUAAGCCAGGUUAGUUUCUAUCCUCGACAAAAGUACCUACUUAUAGUACGAAAGGACCUAAGUAAGGAUAAUAAUUAUAACUCCCGAAUAAAUAUAAGAUUACACUAAACUAUCAUAUUCAUACACUAUG
RNAcentral lists this ribosomal RNA (633 nucleotides) under Octolasion montanum. RNAcentral's name for it is "partial 16S ribosomal RNA". The stretch from base 1 to 547 matches the Rfam family "Bacterial large subunit ribosomal RNA", at positions 1820 to 2925 of the family's 2925-position model. Lineage: Eukaryota; Metazoa; Annelida; Clitellata; Crassiclitellata; Lumbricidae. The record is from RNAcentral.